GACUUGUUGGCCAAAUGGUAAGGCGUCUGACUACGAAUCAGAAGAUUGAGGGUUCGAGUCCCUUACAAGUCA
This is a non-coding RNA of Atractiella rhizophila, 72 nucleotides long. Lineage: Eukaryota; Fungi; Basidiomycota; Atractiellomycetes; Atractiellales; Hoehnelomycetaceae. The record is from the annotation of a GenBank genome assembly.